RNAcentral lists this ribosomal RNA (397 nucleotides) under uncultured bacterium. RNAcentral's name for it is "partial 16S ribosomal RNA". It matches the Rfam family "Bacterial small subunit ribosomal RNA", at positions 523 to 918 of the family's 1533-position model. The record is from RNAcentral.
AUACGUAGGGGGCGAGCGUUGUCCGGAAUGAUUGGGCGUAAAGGGCGCGUAGGCGGCCCGGUAAGUCUGGAGUGAAAGUCCUGCUUUUAAGGUGGGAAUUGCUUUGGAUACUGUCGGGCUUGAGUGCAGGCGAGGUAAGUGGAAUUCCCAGUGUAGCGGUGAAAUGCGUAGAGGUUGGGAGGAACACCAGUGGCGAAGGCGACUUACUGGACUGUAACUGACGCUGAGGCGCGAAAGUGUGGGGAGCAAACAGGAUUAGAUACCCUGGUAGUCCACACUGUAAACGAUGAAUGCUAGGUGUAGGGGGUAUCGACCCCUUCUGUGCCGCAGUUAACAUAAUAAGCAUUCCGCCUGGGGAGUACGGCCGCAAGGUUGAAACUCAAAUGAAUUGACGGGG